UCUCCGUUGGUGAACCAGCGGAGGGAUCAUUACAGAGUUUUUCUACUCCCAAACCCCUGUGAACUUAUACCUUUACUGUUGCUUCGGCGGGUCCACGCCCCGGAAGGCCCAAAAAGCCGCCGGAACCAGGCGCCCGGCGGCGGACCCAAACUCUUUUAUUUCUUACUUUGCAUGUCUGAGUUGAUUCAUAAACAAAUGAAUCAAAACUUUCAACAACGGAUCUCUUGGUUCUG
This 233-nucleotide unclassified non-coding RNA is filed under the name plant metagenome. RNAcentral describes it as "partial contains small subunit ribosomal RNA, internal transcribed spacer 1, and 5.8S ribosomal RNA". The record is from RNAcentral.